AGUUUGAUCCUGGCUCAGAAUGAACGCUGGCGGUAGGCUUAACACAUGCAAGUCGAACGGAAACGAUGAAAAGCUUGCUUUUUAGGCGUCGAGUGGCGGACGGGUGAGUAACGCGUGGGAAUCUACCCUAUAGUUGGGGACAACAUAUGGAAACGUAUGCUAAUACCGAAUGUGAUCUACGGAUUAAAGGAGCCCUCUUCAUGAAAGGUUUCGCUAUAGGAUGAGCCCGCGCUUAGAUUAGCUAGUUGGUGAGGUAAAGGCUCACCAAGGCCACGAUCUAUAGCUGGUUUGAGAGGAUGAUCAGCCACACUGGGACUGAGACACGGCCCAGACUCCUACGGGAGGCAGCAG
This 351-nucleotide ribosomal RNA is filed under the name uncultured bacterium. RNAcentral describes it as "bacterial SSU rRNA". It matches the Rfam family "Bacterial small subunit ribosomal RNA", at positions 10 to 354 of the family's 1533-position model. The record is from RNAcentral.